CAUGGCAAAAUGCAUGGUGCAC
Molecule: non-coding RNA, 22 nt
Filed under: Rattus norvegicus (Norway rat)
Lineage: Eukaryota; Metazoa; Chordata; Mammalia; Rodentia; Muridae
Source: RNAcentral